Molecule: ribosomal RNA, 866 nt
Filed under: uncultured bacterium
Lineage: Bacteria
Description: bacterial SSU rRNA
Rfam family: Bacterial small subunit ribosomal RNA
Source: RNAcentral
UUCGGACCUAGAGACCGGCGCACGGGUGCGUAACGCGUAUGCAAUCUACCUUUUACAGAGGGAUAGCCCAGAGAAAUUUGGAUUAAUACCUCAUAGUAUUAUUGAAUGGCAUCAUUUAAUAAUUAAAGUCACAACGGUAAAAGAUGAGCAUGCGUCCCAUUAGCUAGUUGGUAAGGUAACGGCUUACCAAGGCAACGAUGGGUAGGGGUCCUGAGAGGGAGAUCCCCCACACUGGUACUGAGACACGGACCAGACUCCUACGGGAGGCAGCAGUGAGGAAUAUUGGUCAAUGGGCGCAAGCCUGAACCAGCCAUGCCGCGUGCAGGAUGAAGCAUCUAUGGUGUGUAAACUGCUUUUGUACGAGAAGAAACACUCCUUCGUGAAGGAGCUUGACGGUAUCGUAAGAAUAAGGACCGGCUAACUCCGUGCCAGCAGCCGCGGUAAUACGGAGGGUCCAAGCGUUAUCCGGAAUCAUUGGGUUUAAAGGGUCCGUAGGCGGUUUUGUAAGUCAGUGGUGAAAGCCCAUCGCUCAACGGUGGAACGGCCAUUGAUACUGCAAGACUUGAAUUAUUAGGAAGCAACUAGAAUAUGUAGUGUAGCGGUGAAAUGCUUAGAGAUUACAUGGAAUACCAAUUGCGAAGGCAGGUUGCUACUAGUGGAUUGACGCUGAUGGACGAAAGCGUGGGGAGCGAACAGGAUUAGAUACCCUGGUAGUCCACGCCGUAAACGAUGGAUACUAGCUGUUCGGAGCAAUCUGAGUGGCUAAGCGAAAGUGAUAAGUAUCCCACCUGGGGAGUACGUUCGCAAGAAUGAAACUCAAAGGAUUUGACGGGGGCCUGCACAAGCGGUGGAACAUGUGGUUUAAU